GAUGAACGCUGGCGGCGUGCUUAACACAUGCAAGUCGAACGAAGCACUUUUAAUUGAUUUCCUCGGAAUGAUUUUACUUGUGACUGAGUGGCGGACGGGUGAGUAACGCGUGGGUAACCUGCCUCAUACAGGGGGAUAACAGUUAGAAAUGACUGCUAAUACCGCAUAAGCGCACGGUAUCGCAUGAUACAGUGUGAAAAACUCCGGUGGUAUGAGAUGGACCCGCGUCUGAUUAGCUAGUUGGUGGGGUAACGGCCUACCAAGGCGACGAUCAGUAGCCGGUCUGAGAGGAUGAACGGCCACAUUGGGACUGAGAUACGGCCCAGACUCCUACGGGAGGCAGCAGUGGGGGAAUAUUGCGCAAUGGGGGAAACCCUGACGCAGCAAUGACCGCGUGAAGGAUGAAGGUUUUCGGAUUG
RNAcentral lists this ribosomal RNA (419 nucleotides) under uncultured bacterium. RNAcentral's name for it is "bacterial SSU rRNA". It matches the Rfam family "Bacterial small subunit ribosomal RNA", at positions 28 to 425 of the family's 1533-position model. The record is from RNAcentral.